This 267-nucleotide ribosomal RNA is filed under the name uncultured bacterium. RNAcentral's name for it is "partial 16S ribosomal RNA". It matches the Rfam family "Bacterial small subunit ribosomal RNA", at positions 1225 to 1500 of the family's 1533-position model. The record is from RNAcentral.
UUACAAUGGCAGGUACAGAGGGAUGCUACCGGGCGACCGGAUGCGGAUCUCGAAAGCCUGUCCCAGUUCGGACUGGAGUCUGCAACCCGACUCCACGAAGUUGGAUUCGCUAGUAAUCGCGCAUCAGCCAUGGCGCGGUGAAUACGUUCCCGGGCCUUGUACACACCGCCCGUCAAGCCAUGGGAGCCGGGGGCGCCUGAAGUCCGGGACCGCGAGGACCGGCCUAGGGCGAAACUGGUAACUGGGGCUAAGUCGUAACAAGGUACC